UACGUAGGGUGCAAGCGUGACUCGGCAUCACUGGGCGUAAAGGGUGCGUAGGCGGGUUAUCAAGUCUCGAGUGCAAUCCAACGGCUUAACCGUUGAACUGCUUGGGAAACUGGUAGCCUAGAGUGAGGGAGAGGCAGAUGGAAUUGGUGGUGUAGGGGUAAAAUCCGUAGAGAUCACCAGGAAUACCCAUUGCGAAGGCGAUCUGCUGGAACUCAACUGACGCUGAGGCACGAAAGCGUGGGGAGCACACAGGAGGAGAUACCCCGGUAGUCC
Molecule: ribosomal RNA, 273 nt
Filed under: uncultured bacterium
Lineage: Bacteria
Description: partial 16S ribosomal RNA
Rfam family: Bacterial small subunit ribosomal RNA
Source: RNAcentral